AACAGACCAACCCGGGCCUUCACGGAAUUGGUGCCCGAGUGUGGGAAGACAGAACAAAAGCAAAAGGAGGACAAGGAAUUACAGCGCAGGGGCUUCCUUCUGAUCGGAGGGCGCAGCAGGACGUCAGAUGGAGGAGAGCAGAAGGGAGGGACACUCGUUCUUCUUCACCAGGCUGUAGGAGCACAGACCCCACCAGUGGGCCAUCUGUUUCCUGUCCUAUUCUGAGAGAUGCCAGUCUCGUGACGUGCCAGGCACAGCACACACAUCCUGGAGAGUCCCAGCAGCACCUGCACAAAACCCCCAUUAAGGCAGUUGGCAGCACCUGUGCCUGGGGCAUCUGGGCUGAGGUCAGGGACACAGCCUGCCCCAAGGAGCCCCGGAGGGUCUACAAGACAGCAAGGGCCCCAGCCUGACAGAGUCCAGCUCCAGGAGCUGGGGUGGUGAGCAGGGCUCUGCUGUCAGCCGGUCAUGACCUUCCAAAGAGACCCAGCCCCUGGCACAGGGUUGCUAGGCCUGUCCUCAGCCUCUUCUGUCGCCAGGACUCCGGGUGGGAGCCCUGUGGGGCCUGUCCCGCCGGCCCAUCCGGAGCAUCCGCAGAAGCAGGACAUGCCAUUUCCACGUGUGGGGCUUUGUCAUCUGUCUGGACCUGGCUCCUUCACAAAGUGUCCUCAUUCCUGAGUCUCGAGGACAAUGGACUUAUCAGAGUGGGACCUCUGGCUCCCGGAGGGAGGCGCAGUCUCCGGACAGGCUGACAGUGGGCCCCACUGGACAGGUGAUGCUGCAGAGCCCAUGCAGCUGGGAGUGGGGCGCUGGCCCAGGGGUCAGGGCUCUGCUUCCCUUCCUCUGGGCUCCAGGCUUCUCCCCCAGCCCACCUGGCGCCUUUCGAUUCCUUCUAGAUCCGACCUCAAUGUGACCACAGUGAUAGUCACGUUACUCCCCACAGGGCCCCUGCCCUCAAGCCUGCCCUCCCCCUCCUCCCUCUCUCCCUCCGUCUGUCCCACCCCCCCUCCCCCGCUGGCCACCAGACCCAUGUGGCAUUGGGGGGCGGCUCCCUCUCCUUGAGCACACCCCUCACCGUGGAAGCCAUGGGCUGGGCCCCACGGAUCUGGGAGAGGUCUCAAGUACCCAUGACAAAAUCACAUGUCUUCAGAAUCUCGUGUUUUCAUUUAAAACAAAAUUCAUUCACAUAUGGCACGCUCCUCCUUGCCAAUCGGUGCUUUAUAAUGAAUGCUCCGCCGAGGCUCUGCUGACCCCUCCCCAGAGCCUCCAGGCCCAAGCAUCGUUCCGCAUCUGCUGACGGCUCAGGGCACCCGUGUCGCGGCUACCAAGUGAUAGCACAUCGCCCAGCAGGCAGGCAGGGGAGCCAGACCCAGAGUCUGGUCUUGGCCAGCCUCGGGCAGGGUGGGGACCUGGCCGCCCGAACAAAGGCCUG
This is a long non-coding RNA of Zalophus californianus (California sea lion), 1432 nucleotides long. RefSeq lists it as uncharacterized. Lineage: Eukaryota; Metazoa; Chordata; Mammalia; Carnivora; Otariidae. The record is from RefSeq and is a predicted model, not a curated record. The transcript has 4 exons.